Long non-coding RNA from Passer domesticus (house sparrow), 847 nucleotides. RefSeq lists it as uncharacterized. The transcript has 3 exons. The record is from RefSeq and is a predicted model, not a curated record. NCBI's taxonomy places the organism in Eukaryota, Metazoa, Chordata, Aves, Passeriformes, Passeridae.
CCUUUGCUCUGAGGUCAGCUGGCAGACCUGCAGCUCUCUGGAUUCUCUUUCCAACCUUUCUUGUACAUGGGAUAACCUCCAGUCAACUGGGACCUUCCCAGAUAGCCUGGACUGCUAGUAAAUGAUGGAAAUUGACUCAACAAGCACUUUCACCAGCUCCUUCAAAACACUUGACUGGAUCCUGUUCAGCCUCAUAGAUACAUGUGCCUCCAACUGUUGUACUGGGUCCCUGACCAUUUCUCCUUGGAUUAUGGGUGCUUGGUAUACAGGCUCUAAGCUGUGUAUUCAUCUGUACAAUGUUCCUGUUUCUUCCCCUGUCAUUGCCUGCAAAUGACGUGAUAGAGGAGAACACUGCUUGUGCUCCUGAUGCCCCAACUAUUCAUUCCAAGACCCUGAGGUCUCUAUUCAUUGUCCUCAAACUUCUUAUUGUGACUUCAUCACUGUCCACUUGAACAAACAGUAAUGGAGAAUAAAUCACAUCAGACUGGAGAAUUUCCUGAAGUGAAAUGCUCUACAGAAGAUGGCAAAAUACCAAAAAAGCAGAACACUCUGGAAUUCUCUGUAUAUUAAAAAAUUGGAUCUCCAAAUUCACUAAUCGGAAUUGUGUUCUGUGCUUUCUUCCUCCUGAAGAAACGGAUAUGCUUCUCAAAAUUGCUACCCAAUUAAUAUGUAGAAGAGCCCCUGAAUAUUUAAAAAUCUCAGCCAGAGCACUGACAGUCUCUGAUGGAAAGGAUUGUAGCUCAACUGGAACACAGAAAUUAAUUGUGCCAAUCAGUCAGCAAGUAGCAACCUGUCGCAAGUGCCUGCACAUAUUAACUAUGAAAUGAGUCAAAAGAAUAAAUAUUCA